RNAcentral lists this ribosomal RNA (253 nucleotides) under uncultured bacterium. RNAcentral describes it as "partial 16S ribosomal RNA". It matches the Rfam family "Bacterial small subunit ribosomal RNA", at positions 524 to 776 of the family's 1533-position model. The record is from RNAcentral.
UACGGAGGGUGCAAGCGUUAUCCGGAUUCACUGGGUUUAAAGGGUGCGUAGGUGGGUUGGUAAGUCAGUGGUGAAAUCCCCGAGCUUAACUUGGGAACUGCCAUUGAUACUAUUAAUCUUGAAUACUGUGGAGGUCAGCAGAAUAUGUCAUGUAGCGGUGAAAUGCUUAGAUAUGACAUAGAACACCAAUUGCGAAGGCAGCUGGCUACACAAAUAUUGACACUGAGGCACGAAAGCGUGGGGAUCAAACAGG